RNAcentral lists this ribosomal RNA (466 nucleotides) under uncultured bacterium. RNAcentral describes it as "partial 16S ribosomal RNA". It matches the Rfam family "Bacterial small subunit ribosomal RNA", at positions 28 to 507 of the family's 1533-position model. The record is from RNAcentral.
GACGAACGCUGGCGGCGUGCUUAACACAUGCAAGUCGAACGGUAAGGCUCCAGCUUGCUGGGGUACACGAGUGGCGAACGGGUGAGUAACACGUGGGUGACCUGCCCUGCACUUCGGGAUAAGCCUGGGAAACUGGGUCUAAUACCGGAUAGGACCAUGGUGUGGAUACUGUGGUGGAAAGUUUUUUCGGUGUGGGAUGGGCCCGCGGCCUAUCAGCUUGUUGGUGGGGUAAUGGCCUACCAAGGCGGCGACGGGUAGCCGGCCUGAGAGGGUGGACGGCCACAUUGGGACUGAGACACGGCCCAGACUCCUACGGGAGGCAGCAGUGGGGAAUAUUGCACAAUGGGCGGAAGCCUGAUGCAGCGACGCCGCGUGGGGGAUGACGGCCUUCGGGUUGUAAACUCCUUUCACCAUCGACGAAGGGUUUCCGACGGUAGAUGGAGAAGAAGCACCGGCUAACUACGUG